Molecule: unclassified non-coding RNA, 276 nt
Filed under: Cercozoa sp.
Lineage: Eukaryota; Cercozoa
Description: partial contains small subunit ribosomal RNA, internal transcribed spacer 1, and 5.8S ribosomal RNA
Rfam family: Eukaryotic small subunit ribosomal RNA (bases 1-47)
Source: RNAcentral
AAAGUCGUAACAAGGUUUCCGUAGGUGAACCUGCGGAAGGAUCAUUAACACGAAACCCACGUUUCAUACCAACCUGUGCUCUUGUAAACUUUCAAGUGAUAGUAACCUCCUUUUCUGUUCUAAACAGAUUGGGUAACCUCUAUUGCUUUUUUUCAAUAUUUUAAACCCCUUGUAUCAUCUAUUGACUGAACCUUAGAAGUUUGAGUACUCUUCGGAGAGCUCGCUUCUGAUAUACGAAACUCUGAACAACUCUUAGCAACGGAUAUCUUGGUUCUC